GACGAACGCUGGCGGCGUGCUUAACUCAUGCAAGUCGAACGGAAAGGCCCUGCUUUUGUGGGGUGCUCGAGUGGCGGACGGGUGAGUAACACGUGAGUAACCUGCCCUUGACUUUGGGAUAACUUCAGGAAACUGGGGCUAAUACCGGAUAGGAGCUCCUGCUGCAUGGUGGGGGUUGGAAAGUUUCGGCGGUUGGGGAUGGACUCGCGGCUUAUCAGCUUGUUGGUGGGGUAGUGGCUUACCAAGGCUUUGACGGGUAGCCGGUCUGAGAGGGUGACCGGCCACAUUGGGACUGAGAUACGGCCCAGACUCCUACGGGAGGCAGCAGUGGGGAAUAUUGCACAAUGGGCGGAAGCCUGAUGCAGCAACGCCGCGUGCGGGAUGACGGCCUUCGGGUUGUAAACCGCUUUCGCCUGUGACGAAGCGUGAGUGACGGUAAUGGGUAAAGAAGCACCGGCUAACUACGUG
RNAcentral lists this ribosomal RNA (468 nucleotides) under uncultured bacterium. Its description in RNAcentral is "partial 16S ribosomal RNA". It matches the Rfam family "Bacterial small subunit ribosomal RNA", at positions 28 to 507 of the family's 1533-position model. The record is from RNAcentral.